GAUGGAGAUUACUAAAGUAUACCCCCUCGAUGCUGUUUUUGAUAGUCUUGAGGAUGUACCUGAAGAUAUAAAAACAAAUAAGCGUUAUGCUGGUUCUUCUAAGUGGACAGUUUCGGAAGUUGCAGAAUCCGUGAAGGAGGAUUUUGGAAGCAUCGACAUUCUUGUCCAUUCACUUGCAAAUGGGCCAGAGGUGACUAAACCUCUUUUGGAGACAUCAAG
Molecule: unclassified non-coding RNA, 219 nt
Filed under: Hevea brasiliensis (rubber tree)
Lineage: Eukaryota; Viridiplantae; Streptophyta; Magnoliopsida; Malpighiales; Euphorbiaceae
Source: RNAcentral